RNAcentral lists this long non-coding RNA (806 nucleotides) under Homo sapiens (human). RNAcentral's name for it is "HSALNT0315124". The record is from RNAcentral. Lineage: Eukaryota; Metazoa; Chordata; Mammalia; Primates; Hominidae.
AUGUAGUGGUAAAGCCUUAGGUAUCAGAAACUUCAUGUGGAACUGGCCCCACUUGAUCAAUUAUUGGAAUAUAGGAGGUGUGACAUACUACUUUGAGGUGUGAAUACUGCUUUGAGGUGGCACACUGCUUGCAGGAGGCAUGACCACUGCUUUGAGCCUUUGCUGCCAUUCCAACACCAUGGGAGAAUUACAAGCUUUAUAUCCUGGUAUGCGUACAAUUAUUCAUAGAACUAGUCAGCUUCAAAGUUCUAAAUGGAAUGUCUAUUGUUGUGGUUGCUUGUAUCUGCCCAUCUUAGAUUCUUCCUAGCAAUAAUUCUGAGAGACUCUGGAUUGUGGGCCGAAUGGAGAAUGAAGCCUUUUCAAAUUCACCUCCCAGAUUCACAGAAGAUUUGCAAACCAACAGCUCUGUAGUCACAGUAGCCAUGAUGUAAUCAACAGAAAAAUUCCACCUAAAGAUGUGUAUGUCAUAUUCCCCAAAACCAUAAACAUAUUAUCUUACACAUUAUUAAUGUCAACAUAAUGUCUAUGGAAUGAAUCCAGUGACAUAUACUUUAGAGACACAAUGUUCUCAAAGUUUUUACACUUGCAAAAAAAAAAAAAAAAAAAAAAAACGCCACCUUGGACUGAAAAACAGAAAGAAGAAAUCAAAGAAAUUUGUUGGACUCCCGAAAUGCUAUAAACAGAAUAUUGCCUAAUAAAAUUACUCAGCUGAAAACACAUGCUUACCUUUUUUUGUUUGUCAUAGAUGGCUCUUAUUAUUUUGAGGUAUAUUCUUUCACUGCCUAGCUGUUGAGUGUUUUUAACAU